This 26-nucleotide small RNA is filed under the name Bombyx mori (domestic silkworm). Its description in RNAcentral is "ovarian small RNA-36868". The record is from RNAcentral. Lineage: Eukaryota; Metazoa; Arthropoda; Insecta; Lepidoptera; Bombycidae.
UUAUGGUACUAUUUUUACGUCGAUGC